Molecule: ribosomal RNA, 549 nt
Filed under: uncultured bacterium
Lineage: Bacteria
Description: bacterial SSU rRNA
Rfam family: Bacterial small subunit ribosomal RNA
Source: RNAcentral
UGGGGAAUUUUGGACAAUGGGCGCAAGCCUGAUCCAGCCAUGCCGCGUGUCUGAAGAAGGCCUUCGGGUUGUAAAGGACUUUUGUCAGGGAAGAAAAGGACAGGGUUAAUACCUCUGUUUGAUGACGGUACCUGAAGAAUAAGCACCGGCUAACUACGUGCCAGCAGCCGCGGUAAUACGUAGGGUGCGAGCGUUAAUCGGAAUUACUGGGCGCAAAGCGAGCGCAGACGGUUACUUAAGCAGGAUGUGAAAUCCCCGGGCUCAACCUGGGAACUGCGUUCUGAACUGGGUGACUAGAGUGUGUCAGAGGGAGGUAGAAUUCCACGUGUAGCAGUGAAAUGCGUAGAGAUGUGGAGGAAUACCGAUGGCGAAGGCAGCCUCCUGGGAUAACACUGACGUUCAUGCUCGAAAGCGUGGGUAGCAAACAGGAUUAGAUACCCUGGUAGUCCACGCCCUAAACGAUGUCAAUUAGCUGUUGGGCAACUUGAUUGCUUAGUAGCGUAGCUAACGCGUGAAAUUGACCGCCUGGGGAGUACGGUCGCAAGAUUA